ACGGCGGGGUAACGGCCCACCGUGGCUUACGGUUAGCUGGUCUGAGAGGACGACCAGCCGCACUGGGACUGAGACACUGCCCAGACUCCUACGGGAGGCUGCAGUCGAGGAUCAUUCGCAAUGGGCGGAAGCCUGACGAUGCGACGCUGCGUGGAGGAUGACGGCCCUCGGGUUGUAAACUCCUGUCACGGGGGGCGAGGCGGAGGCGGUGAACAGCCGCCCGAGUUGACGGUACCCCGAGAGGAAGCCACGGCUAACCCUGUGCCAGCAGCCGCGGUAAUACAGAGGUGGCGAGCGUUGUUCGGAUUUACUGGGCGUAAAGGGCGCGUAGGCGGCCGGUCGUGUCGGGUGUGAAAUCCAUGGGCCCAACCCAUGAAGUGCGCCCGAAACUGCCCGGCUGGAGUGCGGGAGGGGAGAUCGGAAUGCAUGGUGUAGCGGUGAAAUGCGUUGAUAUCAUGCAGAACACCGGUGGCGAAGGCGGAUCUCUGGAACGCUACUGACGCUGAGGCGCGAAAGCAGGGGGAGCAAACAGGAUUAGAUACCCUGGUAGUCCCUGCCCUAAACGGUGCACGCUUGGGGUGGGGGGAUUUCACCCCCCCCGUCCCGGAGCU
Molecule: ribosomal RNA, 611 nt
Filed under: uncultured bacterium
Lineage: Bacteria
Description: bacterial SSU rRNA
Rfam family: Bacterial small subunit ribosomal RNA
Source: RNAcentral